GGAGCCGUAGUUCAAUUGGUUAGAGCACCGCCCUGUCAAGGCGGAAGUUGCGGGUUCGAUUCCCGUCGGUUCCG
Molecule: transfer RNA, 74 nt
Filed under: Nephroselmis olivacea
Lineage: Eukaryota; Viridiplantae; Chlorophyta; Nephroselmidophyceae; Nephroselmidales; Nephroselmidaceae
Description: tRNA-Asp
Rfam family: tRNA
About the family: Transfer RNA (tRNA) molecules are approximately 80 nucleotides in length. Their secondary structure includes four short double-helical elements and three loops (D, anti-codon, and T loops).
Source: RNAcentral